This 474-nucleotide ribosomal RNA is filed under the name Triticum aestivum (bread wheat). RNAcentral describes it as "partial small subunit ribosomal RNA". Lineage: Eukaryota; Viridiplantae; Streptophyta; Magnoliopsida; Poales; Poaceae. The record is from RNAcentral.
AUGUAUGCAUUGGACCCUAAAGACUUGAAGCCAUUGAAUAGCUGCUGCGAUGCUCAGAUUUCUGUUUUUGGUUCUAAGCUUCAGAAGAAGAUGCGAGACUCUAAUAUUUUUGUUGUGGGAUCUGGUGCUCUUGGAUGUGAAUUCUUGAAGAACUUUGCUUUAAUGGGGCUUUCUUGUGGGCUAACUAUAACAGAUGAUAAUGUCAUUGAGAAAAGCAACUUGAGCCGGCAAUUCUGUUUCGUGAUUGGAGCACUGGACAGGCAAAAUCUACAGUAUCCGCUACAGCUGCUAGUGCUAUCAACUCCAGCUUCCAUAUUGAUGCUUUGCAGAAUCGUGCCUGUCCAGAGACUUGUUUUCAAUGAUGCAUUCUGGGAGGGCCUUGAUGCUGUCAUCAAUGCACUUGAUAAUGUAAAUGCCAGGAUGUACAUGGACAUGGGAUGCCUGUACUUCCAGAAACCACUCUUGGAAUCUUGA